AUUGAACGCUGGCGGCAGGCCUAACACAUGCAAGUCGAGCGGAGCGGCGGAAGGGUGCGGAUUGACUAGGAAUCUGCCAGGUCGUGGGGGAUCAAGUCCAGGACCGGGAGCUAAUACCACAGCCUAUAAGCUGCGCAUAGGUCGGAUUGGCUAGUUGGAGGGGUAAAGGCCUACCAAGGCGACGAUCCGUAACCGGUCGGAGAGUAUGAUCAGUCAAACUGGAACUGAGACACGGUCCAGACUCCUACGGGAGGCAGCAGUGGUGAAUAUUGGACAAUGGGCGAAAGCCUGAUCCAGCCAUGCCGCGUGUGUGAAGAAGGUCUUCGGAUUGUAAAGCACUUUCAGUGGGGAGGCGUUACCAACAGAAUAAGCACCGGCUAACUUCGUGCCAGCAGCCGCGGUAAUUC
RNAcentral lists this ribosomal RNA (407 nucleotides) under uncultured bacterium. RNAcentral's name for it is "partial 16S ribosomal RNA". It matches the Rfam family "Bacterial small subunit ribosomal RNA", at positions 30 to 526 of the family's 1533-position model. The record is from RNAcentral.